AUACGUAGGGGGCGAGCGUUGUCCGGAAUUAUUGGGCGUAAAGGGUUCGUAGGCGGUAAUAAAUGUCAGAUGUGAAAUCUUGUGGCUUAACCACAUCAAGCAUCUGAAACUGUAUAACUUGAGUGGAGGAGAGGUAAGUGGAAUUCCUAGUGUAGCGGUGAAAUGCGUAGAUAUUAGGAAGAAUACCAGUAGCGAAGGCGACUUACUGGCCUCUAACUGACGCUGAUGAACGAAAGCGUGGGUAGCAAACAGGAUUAGAUACCCUGGUAGUCCACGCCGUAAACGAUGAGUGCUAGGUGUCGGGAGUCAAAUCUCGGUGCCGUAGUUAACGCAAUAAGCACUCCGCCUGGGGAGUACGUGCGCAAGCAUGAAACUCAAAUGAAUUGACGGGG
RNAcentral lists this ribosomal RNA (392 nucleotides) under uncultured bacterium. Its description in RNAcentral is "partial 16S ribosomal RNA". It matches the Rfam family "Bacterial small subunit ribosomal RNA", at positions 523 to 918 of the family's 1533-position model. The record is from RNAcentral.